Molecule: ribosomal RNA, 468 nt
Filed under: uncultured bacterium
Lineage: Bacteria
Description: partial 16S ribosomal RNA
Rfam family: Bacterial small subunit ribosomal RNA
Source: RNAcentral
GACGAACGCUGGCGGCGUGCUUAACACAUGCAAGUCGAACGGAAAGGCCCUGCUUUUGUGGGGUGCUCGAGUGGCGAACGGGUGAGUAACACGUGAGUAACCUGCCCUUGACUUUGGGAUAACUUCAGGGAACUGGGGCUAAUACCGGAUAGGAGCUCCUGCUGCAUGGUGGGGGUUGGAAAGUUUCGGCGGUUGGGGAUGGACUCGCGGCUUAUCAGCUUGUUGGUGGGGUAGUGGCUUACCAAGGCUUUGACGGGUAGCCGGCCUGGGAGGGUGACCGGCCACAUUGGGACUAAGGUACGGCCCAGACUCCUACGGGAGGCAGCAGUGGGGAGUAUGGCACAAUGGGCGGAAGCCUGAUGCAGCAACGCCGGGUGCGGAAUGACGGCCUUCGGGUUGUAAACCGCUUUCGCCUGUGACGAAGCGUGAGUGACGGUAAUGGGUAAAGAAGCACCGGCUAACUACGUG